AGUGAACGCUGGCGGUAUGCCUAACACAUGCAAGUCGAACGGCCGCACAGUAAGAGCUUGCCCUUACGGGUGGCGAGUGGCGGACGGGUGAGGCAUACAUCGGAAUCUACUUUUUCGUGGGGGAUAACGUAGGGAAACUUACACUAAUACCGCAUACUACCUACGGGUGAAAUCAGGAGAUCUUCGGACCUUGCGCGAUUGAUUGAGCCGAUGUCGGAUUAGCUAGUUGGCUGGGUAAAGGCCCACCAAGGCGACGAUCCGUAGCUGGUCUGAGAGGAUGAUCAGCCACACUGGAACUGAGACACGGUCCAGACUCCUACGGGAGGCAGCAGUGGGGAAUAUUGGACAAUGGGCGCAAGCCUGAUGCAGCCAUACCGCGUGGGUGAAGAAGGCCUUCGGGUUGUAAAGCCCUUUUGUUGGGAAAGAAAAGCAGCAGGUGAAUACCCGGCUGUUCUGACGGUACCCAAAGAAUAAGCACCGGCUAACUUCGUG
Molecule: ribosomal RNA, 492 nt
Filed under: uncultured bacterium
Lineage: Bacteria
Description: partial 16S ribosomal RNA
Rfam family: Bacterial small subunit ribosomal RNA
Source: RNAcentral